Cyprinus carpio carpio is the source of this 1053-nucleotide long non-coding RNA. Lineage: Eukaryota; Metazoa; Chordata; Actinopteri; Cypriniformes; Cyprinidae. The record is from Ensembl.
UAUGGUACGGAGUUGCCAUAUGGCAACAAUUAAUUUAUACUCAUUUCCUUGUUAUUCUGAAAAAACUACGAUAUAUCACAUUAUGGGAAUUAAAAGGUUAGGCCUUAAGGUAGCCAAUGACGUGCUGUUUUUAAGUCACAUGACAACUGAAUGUCCUCCCAAAACUCCUUUUCCCACUGUCACCCUCACACAGAAGACACCUGUUGAAGUGCUCCAGAAAUUGCUCUAUUAACCUAAUUUCUAAACAUCUUUUCUCAAGGGGGAUUUUUUUGCAACAUCUUUGAAAAUGAAUAUAGCUAUAUUUUAUGGAAAGGGCAAUAGGAAGAGUGCAGAGUUGGCCUGUCAUGGAGAAUAAAGGGAAGUGCAAAUACCCUGGCUGCAGGGGGAUCGUCCGCAUGAAGUGCAGCAAAUGUGACUUGCACCUUUGCAUCACAGCUGAAAGGAACUGCUUUUUGCAGUUUCAUGGGAUGUCAUGAAUUGUGACUUGAGUUGGACUGAGACAUGUGCACAGUGAUGGACUAGGAAAACCCACACUGAGGGGCAGCUGUGGCCUAAAAGUCAGAGUGUUGGACUAGUUACCCAAAGGUCACCGGUUUGAGUCUCGGUGCUGGUAGGAGUUGCCGGUGGGUGGAGAGUGAAUGAACAGCGCUCUCUUCCACCCUCAAUACCCAUGGCUGAAGUGCCCUUGAGCAAGGCACUGAACCCCCAGUUGCUCCCCGUGCGCUGGAUAUAGCUGCCCACUGCUCUGGGUGUGUGUUCACGGUGUGUUCACUUCUCACUGCUGUGUGUGUGCACUUGGAUGGGUUAAAUGCAGAGCACCAAUUCCGAGUAUGGGUUACCACACUUGGCAAAUGUCACAACUUUCACUUUUCACUUUACUUCAGGGAGCCCCCUAUCGUAAUACCUGAAUUUUAUGUUUUCAUGUUCUACAUGGUAUUAGUGCAUGUUCCAUGCUACCAUACAUUUACUUAACUUGUAUAAAAUACUUUCAAAAAGACUUGUUUUUGGAAUCUUUGUGGAUGUAAAACAAUAAAAAGUUGAUGAAUUUGAUAU